RNAcentral lists this ribosomal RNA (458 nucleotides) under uncultured Sphingobacteriales bacterium. RNAcentral describes it as "bacterial SSU rRNA". It matches the Rfam family "Bacterial small subunit ribosomal RNA", at positions 923 to 1382 of the family's 1533-position model. The record is from RNAcentral. Lineage: Bacteria; Pseudomonadati; Bacteroidota; Sphingobacteriia; Sphingobacteriales.
GCACAAGCGGUGGAGCGUGUGGUUUAAUUCGAUGAUACGCGAGGAACCUUACCUGGGCUCAAAUGUAUGUUGACGUAUUCUGAAAGGGAUACUUCUUCGGACAAUAUACAAGGUGCUGCAUGGUUGUCGUCAGCUCGUGCCGUGAGGUGUCGGGUUAAGUCCCAUAACGAGCGCAACCCCUAUCAUUAGUUGCCAUCAGGUCAAGCUGGGGACUCUAAUGAAACUGCCUACGCAAGUAGUGAGGAAGGUGGGGAUGACGUCAAAUCAGCACGGCCCUUACGUCCAGGGCGACACACGUGCUACAAUGGCCGGCACAGCGGGAAGCGAGGCAGUGAUGCCGAGCGGAUCCCUUAAAGCCGGUCUCAGUUCGGAUUGAAGUCUGCAACUCGACUUCAUGAAGCUGGAAUCGCUAGUAAUCGCAGAUCAGCCAAGCUGCGGUGAAUACGUUCCCGGGCCUU